This 4206-nucleotide long non-coding RNA is filed under the name Pelobates cultripes (western spadefoot toad). The record is from RNAcentral. Lineage: Eukaryota; Metazoa; Chordata; Amphibia; Anura; Pelobatidae.
AGCGAGUAUAAAAGAGGAUCCUUUUUGUAGAACAGUCAAACAUUAAUUUCUCUUUACUCAAUUUGGAUCCAGAAGCAGAUAGCCUUAUUCAAAGCCAUGUCUGGAGUCAAAGGAGGUCACAAGGAUCAACCAAAAGAUGUUGGUCAUUAUGAGAAGCACCACCACCAUCAUCAUGCGGACAAACAGAGUAAGUUAUUCACUAUGAAAAAUAAAUAAAUAGAAAAAGGACUUGCAUUCAAACUUUUUCUAAAGCUGAUACAUUCGCACCUUGCAGAUAAAUCUUUCAGUUUUGAAUGUAUUUUGCUUUUUGAGCAAAGAUGUCAAAUAUGUCCCUUACAUUUUACAAUCCCCCUUUGUUGUGAAGGUUUGGCUCUGUCAUAGCUAUGGCUACGAUGUUUGUUUAUGGCCCACCAUAUUGUUUGCAGAUGGAGAUACUUUGUAGUUCCAUACUAAUUGCUGGACUUGAAACGUUAAUUCCUAUUGGACAGCGGGCUUUAUGCAUUUGAAUUUGAACAUCACAACAAGGUCAUUCAGUAAAAUGAAUGCCUUGCCCGCUCUGAACAAAUUUGGCUAUGGCCAUUGGAAUAUUUAAUGCAAUGCAUUAAAUACUCAGGGUGUCCGUACUGCUUGACUGGGGGCUUUUACGUUCUUUAAAUUAGUGUUUUUAAUUGGCUCAGAUUAUCAUUUCAAUCACAAAGCAAGAAUGACAACAGUAAUGGGAUGAGGUUAGCACUUCAAAACACCCCUAGAAUGAUCUCUGGUGUUUACUACUCUAAAUUGGAGAAGCAUUCAAGACAACACCCUUAUAUUUCGCAGCCGUUAAUGGUAUAUAUUGAUUAUGGGUCUGGGGAAAAUGGUAAAAUAAUUUCCAUCUGCUAUUAGUUAUCCCUGGUACAGUCAUGUUUCAAUAUUGGUAAGAGAAAAAAUUAGACAAAUACAAAUAUACAUUUUAAAUAUAAAAAAGACAAGAGUUAAGCAUUAACAUUCAUUAAAUUUCUGAUUAUUUCAUUGUCUUUGUAACGCAGACUUGGAAAGCAUGGUUUGUUAAUUUUGUAGAAGCAGAAAAAUGUGAAUGACUUGUUAUUUUUUAUUAUUUGAGUUUAUUAGUUUGUGCAUGUAUUUCAAUGUCUUAUCUGUACAACGCAUUUCAAAAAAAGUAUGGAGUGCAAUGAAAAAUGAAAAAAGCGUGGAUUGCAAUAUCCAAGAACACGUGCAGGAGAAUAGAGUUAAAUCAAUACUUCCAGACAAUUCAUGUAAAAUGGAGACUAUACCCUGAUAUGUUUACAAGUACACGUUAGUUUGUUAAUACAGAUUACUACUAAUUUGUAUAUAUUUGACUAGUGAUGUGAGUUUGCUAAUAAUAUAUCAACACCAAGACGUGCUACAAAUAAUAAAGAUCAUUGAAGAUUAACAAAUAUCCCGUUUAUGGUUGAAUGAAAAUAAAUGCACAUGUAAAUCUGUAUUUUAAUAUUUAUACUUUUUAUUAAAUGUUUUAAUACUUAUCCAACACAUUAUAUUAAUGGAAUCUUCUUCGUAUACAUAAACACAAUACCGGACACAUUGCAUACUUACAGAGUAUUAAAACUUAUUUAGCCAAAAUCUUCUAUAUUAAUAUUCAUGUCACAUUUUCAAAGUUGUGUUAGCACGACUAAUUAAAUCUUCUUCCAAUGGAUUUACUCAGUAAAUGUAUCCACAUAAAUAAAAAGAGGAAUAAGAAAAUAAUACAAAAAAAACCUCCAUACUCAACUUAACAUUACAAACAAAAGCCACGUAACAAUCGUGGUCAUAGUACAAUCAAUCUAUCCUUCAAACCAGCUUGAUCCUCGGUGGGGCAUACCAGGAGACUAUAGAAAUCCCAUGUCAUCAGCAGCCCUACCUUCAUAAGAGAAUAACACAAAAUAGCUAUAUUGAGGAUCCAAUAUUUGCAUACUUACAGAGUAUUAAAACUUAUUUAGCCAAAAUCUUCUAUAUUAUUAUUCAUGUCACAUUUUCAAAGUUGUGUUAGCACGACUAAUUAAAUCUUCUUCCAAUGGAUUUACUCAGUAAAUGUAUCCACAUAAAUAAAAAGAGGAAUAAGAAAAUAAUACAAAAAAAACCUCCAUACUCAACUUAACAUUACAAACAAAAGCCACGUAACAAUCGUGGUCAUAGUACAAUCAAUCUAUCCUUCAAACCAGCUUGAUCCUCGGUGGGGCAUACCAGGAGACUAUAGAAAUCCCAUGUCAUCAGCAGCCCUACCUUCAUAAGAGAAUAACACAAAAUAGCUAUAUUGAGGAUCCAAUAUUUGAAAUAAGGUGUAUAAGAGAAAUUAACUAUUUUCUAUUUUUUGUAACCAAAGAUCAUAUCUAUGUUGUUAUCCUAUAACUGUUGCCCUUUAACUAUUUAAAAUUUCAAUUGUUCUUUAACUAUAGGCCAAACUGGAACUAGCGAAAAGUUUCCAAUAUCUUGCAAUAGUAAUCUUAGAGGCUACUAAUAUGUGAAUUACGAAGGGAGCUAAAUUGCCACAUAGUUGUCUAAUAUUUAAUUGAAGGAGAAAUAUGAAGGAGAACGAUAAAUUUAUAGAAGAUAAAAUUUUAGUCUUGUGUAACAUCAUCUUCCAAAAUAGCUGAAGUGGACCACAAUCCCACCAUAUGUGUAGAUAGUCUCCUCUUUCUAUACUGCAUUGCCAACAUCUAUGAUCUUGACUAUUGAUAAAUUUACCCGUUCUGCUAGGAACCAUAUACCAUCUGUUUGCGAGUUUGUUUGGCAUUCUACUAACUUAAGGCAAUGAAUAUUUUUACAAACUGAGUAUAAGGCCUCUCUCCAUUGUUCGCAACUAAUUUGGACACUUAGGUCAGCUUGCCAUUUAUUAAUAAUUGCUACUGUAGGUUUGUCGGGGUCUCGACAAAAAUUGUAAACAGUCAGCUAUUCAUUUUUUUGACGAUAUUUUUCCAAGCCAAAUUAUGUUAUUCGAUUUUUCUCUAGAAACAUAUUCCUGACAAAAACCUUUUAACCAAAAGUAAUUAAAAACUUCCUUUCCAUAUAAUUUAUAUUUCAAAUUUAACGACGGAAAAUCAGUCCAGGAAUUAUUAUUUAUUAGAUUAUCUUUUCUUACCAGCCCUCCUUCCGACCACUUAUUUAGCUUUAUAUCUGGAAUACAGUAUGCAAGAUAAGCCAGUGGAAGAGAGGGUAUUAACUUGUUAUACAAAUUAAUUUCUUUUCUGUUUUUCGCCCACUCAGUUAAAAUACCAUUAAGUGUGACACUGUUAGAACUAUAUGUUAGUGAACUGACAUAUUUUGGCUGAAUUAUCCAAAAUAAGGGUCCCUAUUCCAUUGAGGGCACUUCAACUUGAGUUAAAUCCUGUUCAAUUUUAUACCAAAUUUCCACCCUAGAGCUCUCUAAUUGAGUGUUAAAGGCAUGCGAUAAACUACAAGCCUUUUGAUUGUCUUUCAAGAUAGUGAUCCCUAAUCCUCCUAAUUUAACUUUUAAAGAUAAGCGCUUCAAAUUUAUUCUCAGAGUUUUGCCCCGCCAGAUGUAUUUAUUAAUGAGAGAUUGUGCUAAUUUCACCCAGCUAUCUGGACAUGGCCAUUCAAAAAAGAUAUAGCCAUUUUGGCAUAAUAUAAGAUUUUACUGUAUUAUUUAAACUAUGAUGAUAUAUGAUUGAAAUUAUUUUUGUAUUUUUAUGAAGUUGUGUUUGUCAUUAAUAGACACAGUGGUACCUGUGGUACCUCAGCCAACUCCAUGCCAGCCAGACCAAACUCAGCCAGCUGUGAGCCAACCAGCCCCGUGUCAGCCAGCUGUGAGCCAACCAACCCAGUAUCAGCCAGCUGUGAGCCAACCAACCCCGUGUCAGCCAGCUGUGAGCCAACCAACCCCGUGUCAGCCAGCUGUGAGCCAACCAACCCCUUAUCAGCCAGCUGUGAGCCAACCAACCCCGUGUCAGCCAGCUGUGAGCCAACCAGCCCAGUAUCAGCCAGCUGUGAGCAAACCAACCCCGUGUCAGCCAGCCGUGAGCCAACCAACCCAGUAUCAGCCAGCUGUGAGCCAACCAGCCAGUCAAGUGAAGUCAGGAUGCAAGAAAUAAGAAUUGAAGAAGGUCACAAAGAGGCUCAUGCUUAAAAAAAAUGCAUGGCAGUAUAUUGCUUAUUUAAUGAUUAAAUCUAUAUAAUCUUUGCUAAAACUAUCAAAUUACCUCAAUCAUAAUAAAUUAAUUUGAUUAAUGCAAC